Molecule: ribosomal RNA, 301 nt
Filed under: uncultured bacterium
Lineage: Bacteria
Description: partial 16S ribosomal RNA
Rfam family: Bacterial small subunit ribosomal RNA
Source: RNAcentral
CAGCCGCCGCGGGAAUACGUAGGGUGCGAGCGUUAAUCGGAAUUACUGGGCGUAAAGCGUGCGCAGGCGGUUAUAUAAGACAGUUGUGAAAUCCCCGGGCUCAACCUGGGAACUGCAUCUGUGACUGUAUAGCUAGAGUACGGUAUAGGGGGAUGGUAUUCCGCGUGUAGCAGUGAAAUGCGUAGAUAUGCGGAGGAACACCGAUGGCGAAGGCAAUCCCCUGGACCUGUUCUGACGCUCAUGCACGAAAGCGUGGGGAGCAAACAGGAUUAGAUACCCCUGUAGUCCCUGUCUCUUAUAU